RNAcentral lists this unclassified non-coding RNA (143 nucleotides) under uncultured Pleosporales. RNAcentral describes it as "sequence contains ITS2". Lineage: Eukaryota; Fungi; Ascomycota; Dothideomycetes; Pleosporales. The record is from RNAcentral.
ACCCCCUCAAGCACUGCUUGGUGUUGGGCGUCUGUCCGCGAGGACUCGCCCCAAAAGCAUUGGCAGCGGUUCUGUCAGCCCCUCGCGCAGCAGUUUGCGCUCGAUGGGUCGCUCGACGACCGGCGUCCACGAAGCUCCAUCCU